UGCAAUGGCCUGUGAACUGGCAACGGACAAUUGCCUUGAUGCAAGGGAACCUGUCUCAUCUCUCCCUUCCAAGUCUGGGCCCAAAGGCCCUGCAUUGAGGUCAAGACCUUGCCUUCCCCAUUUCCUACUACUCUCAGAGCCACUGAUAUUGCCACUAUCCUGGAGGCUAACAACAAAAGGCCUUGGGUAAUGAGACGGAACUGCACCAGCAGGAGCUAACACUUGAGAAUGCACCGCGGGAAAACAAAGUCGCCCACCAGAUGAUGAAUCCAGAUAUGUUGUUGAACCAACUGAAAGGGUUGCUGAUGGCAGAGGAAAAUUGGUCCCAAAAGGAAAGACUGGAUAUUGAAAUGGUGGAGCUGGAAAGGGAACUGCUGGAGCAGAUGAUAAAACUGGCCCCCUGUAGACAUCAGGAUUAAAUGGUGUGCUGCCAGUAGGGGGACCCAACAUCCGUUGAGGCCCACCUGGGGUGACCAUUGCAAAUGACUGCUCUCCUCUAUCAGGCAACAUAGAUUGAAUGGCAAUAGCUGCAUAGGGAUUCCCUUGAGGAAGCCAUGAAGAGAAGUUACCCAUUUCAGUGUUGUUUAGCCUAAGGCCAGAAACAGAUGGUUGUGAAGAUGCAUUAUUCCUGGUGGUCUGGCCAAAUGGAGAUGGUUCAGCACUCCCCUCAUCUGCAAGAGGCCCAUCAUUCAAAUCAAAAUCCCUGCGUAUACUUGACUCACCAUUAAGAACUGCAACUGAUGAUGAUUUUACUGCCUGAAGACGCCCAUCCAUCCUACAAGUAUUACUUCUAAAAUGAUUGCCCAUAUCACUUGAAUCCUCCACUCUAUUCAAAUCAAGGUCAAGUCCUCCAGAGCUCCGAACAGCAGCAGAACCCAUUAAUUGAUCAUGAGCUGGAUUAUGAUUAUUUGAAAGAUCAAACACAGCAACUGAGCCCCGAGCAGAACCUCGAGAUGCCAAAUCCUCAAGGACUCUUUCAUCUGGAACAUUCAAGUCAAAAUCCAAUGGUGGACGACUGGGCUUGACCACAGCUGCAUCAGGAAAAGAGAUAUUAAUUGUACCUACUGGCAUCUCCAAAGUUUUUCUUGGCUCAGCUGGCCGAAAGGCACUUGUGGCUGCUGAUCCCUUCCAACCGAGUUCACCCCUAUUCUUCAGUAAGUCCUCUGGAGGAAUAAAGGGCCUUUUGGCAGCAGAAGCCACAGUAAUUGAAGCAGGUAAACCACUAGAGGAGGAAGAAACAGGAAAAGGCAAAGGGCUAACCAAUUGAAUACCAGAAGAAUAUUCAGUUGUCCUCGAGUUAUUUGGUUCCCCAUAUCUCCCAUCAUCAGUAUUGAAGCCUUCAUUUAGAUCAAAUUCCAGUUUCGCUUCAAUAUUUGCCACCCGUACAGCACAUAGUGAAGCAGCAUCUGCAGCACCAGAUGUACUUUCCUCAGCUUCAUCAGCAUCAGUGCCAGUCAACUUCAACCUUCGACACUCUGCUUCUUGUUCUGGUUUUUGCACAAAUGUGGGUGACGCGUUGCUCAGAGCUUGGGCACUGCUAAGUUGUUCUUUAGGUUUAUUAUCUUCUACACUCCCUUCCAGAUUCUCAACCUUGCGAUCAGAAACAUUUGAAACAAAAUUAUUUUCUUGUGUAUUAUUUCCCCUUUCAGCAGGCUGACUCCUGCCAUCCCUUUCACCAGCCUUUUCAGUCUUCACCUCCCAAACAGCAGUUUCAGAAAAAUUAUCUUUACCAAAACCAGUAGGAUGAUGCACAUCCCCCACAGUUCCUUCUGCAAACUCAGAGCACAUGACAGCAGGAGGUUUUUGCUCUGCUUUCACAGUAAGGUUAACCUCUUUGUUCAUAUUUUUCCUGUUGUCACCAUCUAUCUCCAUUGAUGGGCCAGCCAAUGAUCCUUCAACAGAUUCUGUCCUACCUUCCAAUCUUGAAACAUCAACCCUACUCUCACUUUGAAUACAACUAUGCAACUUAUCUUUUGUAUAAGAUAUGUCAUCUGCCUUUUCCUCCCAUGUUUCUUUGUCAGAAUUAGUUGUUUUAUCUACCGAGCUUGAAGAGAGCAGAGUCACCGAAGUGGCUAGUGUUUCCUCUGAUUUCACAUUGUUUUGUAGGCAAGGUUCUGUGACUUUCUGCACAUCCAUAUUGGAAGAAUUUGAAUGCCCAUUACGCACCUCUGCUGGUUUUUCUUCCGACAAGGAUACAAUUUUAUCCUCCGUGCUCUUGGUCAGUGAAGUAUCAGUACCCCGCUUCUCGUGUUCAUCAUCACCGCCAUCAACUGUCUGUCUCAUAUCAUCACCUGAAGAUGACUUAAGUCUUGAAUCAAUGCUUGUGCAAGAGUGUUCAACAGCCGUGAUGUUUCUUUGUGGAGAAUUAUCUGGAGAACCCAUAUCUGAUUUUGAUAUUUCCCCGGCAGCCACACUAGCAAGCAGGUUCAUUCCAGCAUCAUCCCCAGCAGACAUGGAGGCAUUUACUUCAGAGUACUUCUCACAACUUUCAAUCAAAGCAUUUAUUGAGCUGAAAGAAGCUUCAUGCAACUUCCCAUAUUUAUGUUCAUUUCCAGAUGAUGAGGAAGCAGGUUUUGGAACAUCUACUAAUUUCCUAGUGUCUUCAACAGUCCUACAGUUCUCUUCUUCAGGAACAGUGGCAGGGGACCCAUCCCCCUCAUCAGAUCCAGUAAGCACCUCUUUGAAAUCAUUGCUUUGCCAUGACUCAUUAUUUACAUCAGGCAUAAUACUAGCCCGACAACAAUCAUUCUUUUCCUUCAAGUUACGAUCAAACUGCUCAUGCUUCUCUGAAAGGAGCGGAGAAGAAGCUCUACUAUUCAUGACUGAAGGGUCUUCAAGAGAUCCCCCACUGGCACAUAGUGCAGGACUACAACCUCUAUUGGGGAUUUUAACAACCAAUUUAUGAUUAUUACCCUCUGUCAAGGGAACAUCAACUGCCUUCUCAAAUGUCAAACUGGACUGAGAUAACUUUUCAGCAGCCUGGCUUCUAUGCAACGAAGAAUUCCUACUUGAACUAGUCUCCCUUUGGGUCCCAGAUAAUGUUGAACCUUGGAUGCCAUUGAUUGAUUUACGAUGUCGAGAAGAAGCACCAAUGACCUUAUUUGCAGUCAUCGAAACAGCAGUAGAACUCCUCGCAUCCUCCUUUCCAGAGACCCCUCCAGUUUUGGCAUGAUCGCUGGAACAAGAUUGACUAUUGUUGUGGGACUGACUAGAACUGCUGCUUUUCUCCUCCCUUAGAGCUACAAUAGGAUGGUCAGAGGCACUACUGACACCAAUAUUGUGGGUCUGUCCUUCGUUUAAGCAGUUACCAGCUGAUGCAGAAGACGGCACAGAUUUCAUGGAUCCUGGAGAGCCAGAUGCAGACUUAGUUGCAGUUUCCACCUGUAAGAGCUUGCCUGGAGCAUUUUUUGAGGCUGAAAGUUGUGUAGCUGAACUCUUAAUUGCCACCUCAGAAGAUGUACCAGAAUGUCUGUUCCCACCAUGUGAAACAUCUGGAGGUCGCGGUCUUCCAGCCCAUGAGACAGCCUGGUUAGAACCAGACUUUGCAUCCAUUUCAGCCUCAACACGUUUCUUCCACGUGUCAACCAAACUCCUUGCUUUCUUUUGAAUUUCCAAGUUCUUGUGUGUUCUCAAAUGAUUCACUGACUUCCCAAUGUUACACAUUUGCAAAGCAUGAAGAUUUACAGGGAGUUUGUCAAGCGCACCGAGUAAAAUGAACAGAAAUUCCUCAACGGAUUUAUCGCUAUCCUUGUGGCUGCUACCAUCACCAAUCUUCCCUUUGUGUACCUCCUGCAGCCACUCAUCAAAUACAGGCAAACCCUUGACCUGCACAAACCGAUUAAGGCAAUCAAACUUAUCUGUGGCUGCUAUAACACCAGCCAGUAUUGACCGGCCCACCAAGUCUAUCUUUUUCUCAUUUCUCUCAGGAACCAUGAGUUGCACCAAUUUUUCAACACCUUCAGAGUCAACAAGCCCCCCUUUUUCAGUAAAUUUUGCAAUCUCAGUUUUCCAAAUGCUUUCUGGUCUGCAGUGACCAGAAUCACCAUAAUCCAGCUUUGAACAACGUUCUCGUUUAACAGGCUCAGAACCUUGAUCAAUUCGUUCCCUUUUCUUUCCCUUAACUUGAGAAGGAGUAGAUGACACACUAUUUUGUACACUAUCUGAGCUGGGUUUCAACUGUGAAGUGGAUGUUGGACCAUUCGUUGGUUUUGGUGAAUGCCCACCUUGGGACACUGUCGCAUGCAUUUCUAUGUGAGUUUUACACAAUAGCUGAUCUACUUCUUCUUGCCGUUCCUGUUCAAAAACGAAUAUUAACAGUCACACAAUGUCAAUUAUCCACAGCAAAACACAUGAAUGCGUCCAGAACUUACAUUAAUGUAAUCUUGGUCGGUAAGCCACCACAAACACUUGUUUGUAAUGUCAUAAACUCUCCGGCACACAAAUGAACAAAUUCCUGAUGGAAGUUCAGCACCUUUAGGAAGGAAAGCAACUCUACACGGAUGAAGUAGUGAUGCAGCAGGAAUCUCAUCCUUAUGAAAGGAAUAGAAUAUUUCGUUUGGCUCAGCUUCCAAAAGGAUGCCUUUGCCAAGCUUUAAUUCAGAAGGUCGAUAAAGCCAAUUCACACCUAACUUUAACUCGUCUUCUUCACCAGUAGUGGCCCAACGAAUUAUUCCAAUGAAAGGAGGGGAAUCUUGGGGUGGUUUGAAAAGAGCACAAUCUCCAACAUUGAUCCUGCGUCCAUCCUGUUAAGAUUGAAAAAUAGAAAGGAAAGACUAGCAAAUAAAUUUAUCUGAAAAUGAAAAGUAGCUAAACAGAGCAGCAGUUCCAAAUCUUUAAAAUUUAAUAAGCUCCAGAAAAUGCAGUACAAGCUUUACACAAAAUCACCAGAAAUAAUUCAAGGUAUCUUAACCCUCACAACAAACACUCAUUAUAAUGCAUAUUACAGUACCAUAACAAAAUCUCUGGAUUCAAAGGUUGCUAUUUCUAAUUUCAGAAGUGGACCUCUUUCUCAGUUUUCAUUAGCCACGAAGUCCUAAAUGAAUCUUGAAAUAUUAUCCAAUUACAUUAGUGACCAAAUAAGAAAAGACAAAUUACCAAAGAGACAAAAAGAAUUUUUUGAGUGACUGACUCCCAUAGACAGAAUUUUUAGAACAAGAAGCAAUUACAAUUAACUAAAAGAACCAGCUUAGGUCACAUGGGUUCCAUUAUUCACUUAAUAAGAUAUUUAUUUUCAAGAAAAUGGAUUCCAAAAAUAGAACUGCAAGUCCCUCCGAAAACAACAACUCAAGAGAAAGCUCCUAAGCAUACAACCAGAAUGUAUAGAUUACCCUUUAACUAUCCUUGGAACAAUGCACAAGCAAAAAUUCCAUGUUAAAUAACAGCAACGAAAUCUUAGGAUCAAGCCUCUUCAAAAAGAUAAACUAAGGAACCUGGAUAAAUUCCAACCUCCUAAACAGCAUCAAUCACAAUUUCACACAUGUCAAACUGUUAAGACACUCCUAAAAACACGAUGUUUUAUUUUCCUUGCAAUGCCUCUGAGAGUAACUUUGUUUUCACUUUACUCUCCUAACCAUAGAAUAGGAAUCUUCACCAUAGUUACCUAGAAUGUGAAACUCUUAAACUGUGGUAUAGAUAUGCAGUACUCAAUAUGCAGGAGCAGGUUAGUUAGUACACUACUUUGAUUCAUGGUACACUUAGUAGGUGCUACAACUUAAUUUGCAGACAUGAAUUACAUUACUCGUACGUAUCUCAUAUUCAAGUGGUAUUUCUGAAUUUAUUUUCCAUACUACAUAAAUCGAUAGAUAUUGGUUUAACAUUAAUUAAUAUGAUAAACUUUUUAACAUAAUAUACAUUUUAUUUAAAAUUUAAGUCAUUUUAUUAUUGUAAACAAUUAAGAAAUACUAUGUAGAAAACUAUUUUACAGUCAACUAGUCAAAUGAAUUUUACUGUCCCAAAACUAAGAUUCCGCAGCUGCAGUGAUACCUAACCCCAAUUUCACACAUCAUCAUCAUCUUUGCUUUGCUGGAACCUUAUUUUAGCAAUCCAGCUUGUACCCUCUAGCUAUCACGCAAAUUGGAAAUGUGCAACCCAUAUAGCAAUACCCAAGGUUUUCACUAUUAACAUACAAACAACUAGUGAGACGGUUGUAUUUGGCGAACAAAGGAAAACUGGUCACAGAACAUUUUCCUUGUCAAUGGAUAAAGUAAGCAUUUCAGCGGAAAAAGUUCUCCCAGUUUAAAAAUAAAGAAGCUAUUAACAUACAAACAACUCUCACUGACUACAGAUAUUUUCUUUUUUAGAGUAAUUAUCCUCCGAUUAAAGUAUUUAAUGGAAAUGCAAAGACAUUGUAGGAGGAAAUAUUCUCAUUGUCAUCUUCAUCAAACAAGACUUGAUUAGUAUUACAACCAAACAGCAUAACAUAUUUUUCUUCUAAAAUAUUUUCUAAUAUAUAUAUAAUUUCAUCAAGGAAAUUACUUUCUAUUUAAGAAACCAGCCACAAAUAAGCUUUAUAGGACAUCCCCUCACAUCCUAUGAUUUUCAAGAAUUGCAACAUCAAUAUUUCUGCAACACUUCGUAUCCAUCUUAUUUUAGGAUUUAUUCAAAAAAAAUUAUCUUAAUCCAAGCAAAGGACUAAGCACUACAAAAUGCCAUGAUAUACUUGACCUAGGAACAACAUGGAUCUCUAAUAAAACAAGUUUGGAGGAAAACCAUAUAAUGGGAGGGAUGAUUAUCCAAAUCACAAUUUCCCCAAACUUUAAAUGCAAAUUUCAGCUCCAAUUUAUAUACUUUUCACAUUCAUCUGGACUCAAUGAAAAAAAUCCGCCAAUCGAUGAAAUUACAGUUUAACCAUAGCAAAAGAACACAUCGUUAAUAACUAGAAGCCAAUGAAUCUAGCAGGCGAUUGCAGCUGUUCAUUUUUCAUCGUCCAUUCUCCCAUGCAACCCCACAAAAGGAGUGAGAUGGCAACAGAUAUCGUUUCUAAAGAACACCAGAAGGACCCCAACUCCAACAUCAAGCAAUACACGCCACUCCAUCAUUUCAGUCCAUUCUUUAAAGUUCCAUAUAUCAAACAAGUUAACAGGCAUAAUUCACCAAAAUUAAAUUUGCUGUCUCAAAGUCUCCCAAAUCAUGCCCGUCAACUUCCCCAAAUUUCCAUCAAUGCAGGCCAAACAACACACAAUUACAAAAAUAUUCGACCCGUUUUCGCAUUAACCAUGCAUACUCGAUCCCUUUUCGGCAAUCACACAAAUCUGUGAAAGAUCAAUUCAUGUACACCUUCGCAAACGCCGAACCCAAUCUACCCCUUCAAAACCCCCCCCCAAAAUCACGACAUCAACCAAACCUAAAAAUCAAAAUUAAAAGCAACCCCAGCAAAGGGGAAGAAAAAUAAUAAAGAACAUGGAAGGAAAAAUACCUUGCAAAAUGAAUUAGCCGGGAAAACCGAAGAAGAAGACGAGGAAACAUCACAAGCUACAACCGAAUUGCUAUGAGUGAGUCCUUUCCACAUGUGCCGACCCGUUUUUCUUUCCUCACCUGCCCGCCCAUGCAUAGCCUUGCAUUUUCCCCCUCGAGUAACAUCAAUCCCGUCUCCUUAAUUCAGAAACCGAAUCCUGCUCCACUUCCUUAUAUCAAUUCACCAAUUUCAAACCCUUGAUCCACCUCCAAAUCCAUCCUUAUACCAUUCUCUCCAGAAUCGAAACCCUAAUCUUCAAUUUCCCGAACGAAUUCAAUCCUGCGACCUCUUCUUCGUCAGAUGAAUAGAUCCCACUGGAGCUCCAAUCCGUCGAAUUGAGGAGAUGUCGAUCUACAGAACGAAACUGAAGAAUAUUUAAGAGAGAAAAAUAUAGAGAAAGAAAGAAAUCGAAGAAAGAGAGACGGCAAAAAUAAAAGUUUCGGUACUUGGUAGAGCAGGGGCGGGCAAGGUGGGGGCUGAUCGGGCAGCUCGGGCAGGUGGAGGAAAGCGUUACCUGCGAUUUUCCCUUUUUUUUUUUUUUUUCAAGUUUACUUUUAGAAUUUUUUGGUAGGGGGAACUUUAAAGUAAAUUCAGUUUUAAUAAUUAUCAUAAUACAAAUUAAAAUAAUAAUCGAAUUUGUUGAAAAUAAUUAUAAAAAUUACUUUUUGCAAAGCAAUGAGUGCAUUAUUAAAUUUGUUUGUGAAAAUGUUAAUUUUCAAGUAUAAAAAAAUUUAAAAAUAUUAUUAAUUGUAGUAAAAAAAAUAAUAUAAACUAAUAACAACUUUUUAAAUUUAAACUAAUAACAAUUUAGUUGGUAAUAAAAGAUGUGAAAUAUAACAAAUAAUGUGAAGAUAAAAAGAGUUUUAAAAAUGUAUGAAUAUUAUAAUGGUUUUAAAUAACCUAAAUAUCACACAAUUGUUUUAGCAGUUUUUUAAAUAUAUUAAUUAAUUUCGGCAAAAGAUUGAAAUAUUAAAUCUGGAAUCUUAUAUAUAGCAUAAUAUAUAAGAUUUAAAAAGAUAACAACCACUUAAAAAAAUUAUAAUAAUAAGCAUUUUCAAUUAGUGUUAGUUUAUUUGUUCUUAUUUCAUUUUUAAGAUAUAAUAAGUAAAAAAAUUAUUGAAUUUGAGUUUUUUUUUAUUUAUUGAUUAAUUUUAAAUAAAAAAAUAAAAAUAUUAUAUGUUAUCUUGUAAUCUAUUAAUUAUUAUUUACAAUUUAUGUCUUUGAACCACAAUUGUUAGAUUUAUCUGUUGCAGCAUCAAAGUUAAUUUUAAUAGAACCUGCAGGGGGCGGAGUCCAUGGAACUGAGCGAGGUGGAGCAGUGAGACUUAUAGGUGGGACUCCUAUUACUGUUUGAAAUUCAUCCAAAUAUGCUUGUGCAAGAUGGAGAACCUGGUGAGGAGUCUGGAAAGAAUUCUUGAAAGUUGCAUGAUUCUGACUUUUCCAUAUAAACCAGGGGAUAAAGACCACUAAAAGAGUGAGAUGUUCACUCCACUGGAAUGGUCUGCCUUCCUCAUCUAUAACAAUAGCUGCAACUGAAUCAUAGCCAUUUUUGAAAUCAAUUACACCAUCAAAAUUGAUUUUUACCAUUCCCGGAGGAGGCAUCGUCUAAGAAGGAGAUUAAGUAUUUUCAAGAUCAUGAAGGCCCUGAAUAGAAGAAUUAGUUGACAUGAAAUCAUCAAAAUAAUCUAAAACUAUAGAAAUAACCUGAGUGGGGUGUGUAUGUUGCUUCCUUAACAACAAACUAUUGCAAUUCUUCCAAAUUCUCCAUAAAAGGAAAACCAUCAAAAGAAUAAGAUUAUUAUCCUACUAAUUAGUAUUGCUCCGCAUAAACUGUAAAUAAGAGGGAUCUUAGAAUUCUCUUGUGGAGAUGCUCUAUUGUCAGUAGUUUGUCUUGCAAAAAAUUUCCACAAGAAGAUGUGCAAUUCAGGUGGAAAUUUAAGUUUCCAUAUGAAUUUCCGUAAUUCUUUAUUACUGCUUGAUCUGGUCCUGCUUUCGUUUCACUUUUAGUAUAGCGUUGCAGGUGGCAUGUAAGGUGAUAGCUUGAUUUAACUGAAUAGAUUUCUGAUAUUGUAUAAUGCUAAGCUAGAUAGUCUUCUCUAUGGAAGAGGCUAACAUGAAUGCUCAAAUUAUUAGAUAUCUCUUCCUCUUGACACGCUUCUUUUAAUUUAUUUAAAUCUCAAGAGGAGGAGCGAUAGUUGAUCAGCUGCUUAACCAAACUAUGUUUGAGCGACCUUUCUCUUGCACGCCAAUUUUAGUUUGGGCUGAAGCAAUUUGGUGUUUGAGGUCUCCUGGAGUAUUCAAACUGAAAAACAAAGCUGAUUUAUCAAAUUCAUACUUCAACCGCUAGCCAUCACAUAAGUAUGCAAAAUGUUGGACUUUGUGAACUUUGACAAAAGUAGCUUUUAAAAAAAUGAUGGAGUCGUCUGCAAAAAGAAGAUGCUUAAUAGCAUAUCCUCUUUUGGAUAUGGAUGUGCCUUUCUGAUAUAAUGAGACAUGCCCUCUGCACAGAAAAGAAAGAGACAUAGCGAGAGGGUGUCACCCUGCUUUAAGCCUCUAAAUAACUUAAUAAGUCCGAUUGGUGAUAAUAAUAAGAAAUAGAAGGAACGCACUCCAUAAUCCGGUUAGUCCAAGUCUGAUGAAAACCAAAACAGUUUAGCAUAUGUUUAAGAUUAGACCAUUCUAUGUACUUAUAUGCUUUACUGAUAUUAAAUUUUAAAGCAAAACUAUAAUUUUUGUUCUUUCUCAAAAUCUUCAAAUAAUGCAUGAUUUCAUAGCAAAUAAGGAUGUUAUAUGAGUCUAUUACUAAUGAAAGCAUUCUAUUCUUCACUAAUAAUAUCAUGCAUAAAUGGCUGCACUCUAUGAGUAAGGACUUUAGCAAUAAUCUUAUAGAAAAUUAUGCAUAAACCUAUUGGUCUAAGGUCUUUUGUAUUGUAAACCUAUUUUACUUUAAGAAUCAUGGAGAUUAUUACAUGAUUAAACCUCUUAAGCAUCUUUCCUCCUUUGAAAGUCAAGAUUGCUUCACAGAUGCAAUUAUGUGUGUAAAUCUCUGAAAAAAUAGCUUAGUUAUGCCAUCAUCUUCUGAAGCUCUGAUGGGAUGUAUGGAUAAUCCUACCUUUUUUAUUUCUACUCUACUGGCUAGACUAAUGAACUUUUCAUUCAUUACGCCUGUAACUUUAGUAGUGAACCCCUUCGUGACUUGCUAAAAAAAAGGAUUAGAAGAGGGGUAAUAUGCUUAAAAUAAUCAAUGGCAACAUUAGAAAUAUUAUUAAGAGAGAUGCUAUCUGCCAUGACUAUCUCUCUGUUUAUAAAUGUGAUUUCUCCUUCUUCUUUGCAAAACUUUAGCAUGGAAAAAGGAGGCAUUUUUAUCCCCCUUCUAUCAUGCCUUCUGCACCAAACAAGCACUUCUUUGUUUAAUUCUUGCAUCAACAUAGUUUCAAUGUUUAUGAUCUCUACCUCAUCCUAGGAUGGCCGAUUUUCACUUGAUGCAACUGCGACUGAAGAAAAUUGAUUCUAGCUUUGGAAUUUGUGUUGUUCAGCUUCCUUCAAUUUACUAGAUUAUGCUUACAGAUUUUCAACUUGGUGAAUGUUUGUAACAAACUAAAGCCAUCUAUUCCUUGAUUCCAUGAUGAAGCAACAAUUUGGUCCACCUCUGUGCACUUUGCCCACUGAGCAUCAAAGACAAAUCUAAAUUUUGGAAUAAGAUGAUUAUGUUCUAAAGGUAAAAGGAUGGGCCUAUGGUCGGAUCCAAUGUCCUCUGGACAUUGAAUAAAAGAGUUUGAGUAGCACUGAAGCCAUAAAGAUGUGCAAACUCCUCUAUCAAUAUGCUCUUAAAUAUGAUGUUGAUUGUCCCUACAAAUAUCCCAAGUAAAAGGGGGUCUUAUGAAGCCCAAAUCAAGAACACCCAUCUUAUUUAAGAAGGAUAAAAAAGAUUGAAUCUUUGCACUAACAUAAGUACAUCCCCCUCCUUUUUCUUUGAUAAUACGCACAUUUGUGUAGCUUUAAUAUUUUAAAAUACUUAGUUAAUGAGUUUGAUUCUAUUUAAAACAGGUUAAUUUGUUUGAAUUUUGAUAUCUUGGUAGAUUAAACUAGGAUUAAAAAAUAAUAAGAGAAAAAUCAUAUUUGGACUCUACAUUCUAAAAUCAGAAGAGUCAUGGACGUAACCAAGUAGUUCACAAAAGGAUAAGGAAGCAGAGUCAUACUUGAACUCCAACUCCCAAAUAUACUUUAUUAUGGACUAUGUUAUGAACAUAACAUAAUUGAUGAAGAAGAAUCAAAAUCUUAUUCUAAAUUCAAGACACACACAGAUAAUCCUCGUCUGUCAAGAUACAUCAGACUCGAUAUUGAUUUUGGCUACUAAUAUUUAGGUUGAGUUAGGAUUUUUAGUCCUAUAUAAAGAUGACAUUCUGAUGUACAUAAUCAUCUCUCAUUCUGAAUUAGCUUUAGGAGGCUGAAAACAUUUUUCUUCUUGUUGUGUUUCAGUCAUACAAGUGUGGCUAAAUUCUUCUUUUCAGUUAAAGAAUAAUUGAGGUUUCAGUUUAUCUAAUUGUGAGAUCUAUGUGAUUCUAUUGCUUUCUUAAAUGUUCUUAAUAUUUAUAUUGUUCCCAUGUCUAUUGCUUAUUAUAUUCUGUUGAUUGUUGCAUUAAGGCACCAUUGCUCAACUGAUAGGAUGAUUUGUUGCUAUUCAGAUUGAUUAUAUCUGUAAUUGUUUAGUUGAACUGAAAUAAGUAGUGAAUUAGAUUGCAUAAGACCUUCCUAAGAAAUAGUAUAAUCUAACUUAAAUUAACUGAGCGUCUCGCAUUUAUUAGUUAGAAUAAGGUCCUUAUUAUUCUUAAUGCUAUAAUUGGGUUAAAUUUUAGGAGCGUCUCCUAUGGUUAUCCAAGAACUAGAACAAGCUAACGAAUGUAACUUAGCUAGUUUAAAAUCUAAGAAAUGAUUGGAUAUCUAAAAUGUCUUCGAUAUCUAUAACUAGUUUAUCAGUAAAUAAUUUGAAAUUAUUUUUACAUUUGUGAUCAACCAAUAAAAUUGAAACUAAAAUUAUUCAUUUGACUGAGUAAUUCUCAUCUUGAUUAUCUCUCUUAAAUUUAACUGUUUGUUUCUUUGAAUUAGUUUUAUUUAUUUUCAUUUCUCAACAUUCAAAAUCCUCUUAUUUUAUUUUUAUUGUUAUUUGUUUGUUCAUUUAAUAGAAUUAAUUUACUUUCAGUCUAUGUGAAAUCGAUCCUUCUUAUCAUUAUCACAAAUUUUGUUUUAAGCAGGAACUUAUUUUUUGUGGUUUCUACGCCUAUUAAAUUUUGAUGCCAUUGCCGAGGACUGAUUUAAAUUAUUUUAUUAAUUCUUCUAAAUGACGCGUUCUAAUCCUAUAGGUAGACUCAAAAUCAAUCCAGAAAUCAAAAAAACUGCAAGGAAGCUGAGGGGUAAAAAAAAACAAACAGUGAAAUAGAGAAAUUUCGUCUUCCAACAUUGAAGAGCAAGAAUAGGUCGUUGUUGAGGAACACAUUGCUAUCAAAAAAUAGGUUGUGAGCAUGGAGGAAACAACAUCUGCUCGAACGAUUCUUCUGGCAAAUCUGACAUAAAAGAAAAGAUGGCUAAAGAGCAAGCAAUACAAGAUGAUGACAAUAUUGAUGAUCCUCACCUUUACAUCACCUAUCCUAUACUAAAUGUACCACUAUAGUUAAAAUAAGGAUUAAUUCAUCUCAUCCUACCUUUAGGAAAUGUGAAAAGGAAGAUCCUCAUAAACACUUGAAAGAAUUUAAUGUGGUAUGCUCCAGCAUGAGACCACAAGGAAUUUUAGAAGAGCAAAUCAACCUUUCAUUUCUACCUAGUUGAAAAUGCAAAAAAUUGGUUGUAUUAUCUACCCCCAGGUUUAGUCACCACAUGGAGAGAGAAAGUGAAAUUAUUUUUUAGACCAUUUUUUUCCGCUUCUAGAGCAUCUGAAAUUAGAAGGGAAUUUGGAAAUCAAGCAAAAGGGCACAAAAACUCUCCAUGACUAUUUGGAGAGAUUUACAUGUCUAUGUGCAAGCUGUCUUAGACAUGACAUUAUAGAUAAACAACUCAUACUCUAUUUUUAUGAGGGACUCACAACCAUGAAAAGACGCAUGAUGGACGCUGCAAGUGGAGGAGCGAUAUGUAAGAGAACACCCUGAGAGGUUAGGGAGUUAAUAUCCACUAUGACAGCAAACUCAUAGCAAUUUGGACCCUACAAGUGUAAUACCCGGCUAAAUCUCUGGCGUCAGAAUUCUAACCUUCCUACGGAAUCCCUGUUGGAAUCCGGAAUUCCCGAAGCUGGAAUCUCCUUAGAAGGGUAAAAUAAGGUUUUUAUAAAAUGAAUUUGAAAAUUUUAAGGUUUUGAGUUAAAAAGAAGAAAGAAAAGAGUUUUGAAGGAAAACCCCAGGUUCGGCCGCCGAACCUUCAAGUUCGGCCGCCGAACCUUCAAGUUCGGCCGCCAAAGGUGGUGCCGCCGCAGGACCUUCCCUUUCGGCCCCCGAAGGUGGUUUAUCCAGUCACCUAUAAGAGGCCUUCAGCCUAAAAAUGAGAGAGCUUUCUCUCCAUUUUCAGGCAGAGGUGAGUCAUUGCCCUUCCUUUGAUGCUCCUAUUAUUUUUUCCUUCAAAUCUUUCAGAAAAUUCAUGAGUUUUCUCUUGUUUUUGAAGAUUUGAGCUUGAAUCCAAGUUUUUAAACCUUGGAGACCUCCGGAGACCGUUUUACCUCAUCUCCAAGUUGGGAUUGCCGUCACCCUUAGAUCUCCAAGAGGUAAGUUUAAAUCUUUGCCUUUCCUAUGUUUUAAUCAAGAUUUAAGAAAGGGUUAAGGGUUAAUAAUGCAUGAAAUGAUUAGAUCUAAAAUUUUAGGGUUUGAGUUGGGUUAUUAAUGAAUGUUUACUCUUGUGUUGUUUUUGUUGUUGCUUGUUAGGGAUUAGGUUAGUUUUUAUAUCCCUUAUGCAUGAUUGAGUGAGUAUGUAUGUUUUUGAGUUGUUGGGUGUGAGGAUCGAAGAGUUGGGUGGCUGUGUACAUAGGACAUAAUCGGGUUCUACCUUGCUGGAGAACCCAGGUUCGACCGCUGAACCUACUUGUGAAGGCAGACUUUUGGCUGCCUAACCUGCCCCCGAAAGCAUGGACUUUUGAAUCUGUGAAGGGGUUUAGGCCGUCGAACCUACCCCCGAAGGUUGCUGACUUUCGGAUCUGUGAAGAGUUUAGGCCGCCGAACCUGCCUCCGAAAGUCCCUGACUUUCGAAUCUAUGAGGGACCUUCGGCCGCAGAACCUGUCGCCGAAAGUCCCCUGCCCAACCUUCCUCUGAUUGUUUUGUGUACAUGUUUUGGUAUGUUUUAGGGGGUCUUUGGGGAGUUGUUUAGAGUCAUGUAAUGGUUAUGUUUGAUCUCUCAUUUGAGUCCAUCUGUGUAGGAUCGGACCUGAGAGACCGUAGAGGCCUGCAGUGAGAUAACUGUGCUAGUUUUAGGCAAGCGUCAGCUAGAAGUGAGUAGAACUGAACUAAUCUAUUGUUUUUAAAGUAACCAAACUUUUAAGCAUGUUCAUGCAUCACGAAUGCCAUGUUUAUAUAUUAGGAUAUUUGCAAUAGAAUUCAUGAAUAUGAUGCAUUGCAUAAUUUACUGUUGAUGUGGAUGGAUAUUGGAUGACCCACUAGCCCUCGAGUAUGAUAUGAUAUGAUAUGGAAGUCCAGGUGAGGGCCAUUCUACGCCCUUGGCAAUAUGUAAGAGAAAGUCUAGGUCGAGGCCCAUUCUACGCCCCUGACAUUAUGGAUAUGUUAUGUUAUGUUAUGUUUAAGAGGAAGUCUUGAGGAGCUCCGUCGGGCACUAUUGGAAUAUGUAGAGGGUUACUGGUGACAAGUCCAUCUUGAUGUGAAUUGUUUGUGUUGUGACGCAUUUCAUAUGAGCAUAUAUUUAUUUAAUUAUUUUUAUGUUCUGCUCACUAGGCUCUUGUAACUUAUCCCUUUUCCCUAACCCCAGGUUUGCAGGGCUCGAGAAAGUCGGCAUAGUUGCUGGUAUAGUCUAAUGUAAUAGAAUAGUGUGGACAUGUAAAUUUUAAUGGAUUAGAAUUGUGCUUUGCCCUAGUUUUUAUCUUUGAAAUCCCUGUUAACAUGAUCCUUAUGUAAAAGUUUUAAAUUACGAGUUAUGUUUGAACCAAGCAUGAGGCAUGUGAUGUUUGCCAUACUAGAGCAUUUGAUAAGGGCUCUAGUAUGGGUUUUAUGUUUUCAGUUUUGAUACAUGCACAGGUCGAGCCAUUGUUCAUGAAAUGUUUAAGUUUUUGUGAUAAUGUAUGAUCAUGUAUGAGAUUUUAUCAGAUACACAGGAUGUAUAGUAGGCUUGCUACGGGUUCCGACGACCUUAAGUCGAUCUGAACCCUAGCGCCGGUAGUGGUCCGGUUUCCAGAUUGUUACAAUAAGACUCUCAUAGUAGAGUUUAUGAGGUAAGUAAUUCUUCUGUUGAAUCUAAACUUUCUCAUCUAAUCACUUUGGUUGAAAACCUUGUUAUAGAGAAGGCACAACAAGUCAAGGCUUAUAGAAUUUGCACUAAUAUGGGUAAUCCCAUUGAUAUGUGCCCUUCACUUCAAGAAAACGACCAACAUGUGGAUGUUGUAAAUGGGUUCCUAAGUCCUCCAUAAAGGAAGUACCAUCCUUUCUCAAAGACGUAUAAUCCAAGAUGGAGAAACCACCCGAAUUUUAGCUAUAAGCAACAAAAUUAUUAAAGCUAUCAGUCUAAACAAAUUCACUACAAAAAUUUACCGGAUUAGUAACGGAAAUUUCCGUUACUAAUUAUUAAAAAUCCGUUACUAAAACUAUUUAGUAACGGAUUUGUAACGGAAAUUUUCCGUUACAGUGAACCUCGUUGCUAAUGCAUUAGUAACGGAUUUUCUAGUCCGUUACUAAAUUAGUAACGGAUUAGUAACGGAAAUUCCGUUACUAAAUUUAGUUUCCUUUUAGUUGGUUUUAGUAACGGAUUUUUUUAGUAACGGAUUUUUCCGUUACUAAUCCGUUACUAAUUAUGAAAACUUAAUAACAGAUUUUUCCGUUACUAAUCCGUUACUAUUUUUAUGAAAACUUAAUAACAGAUUGUUCCGUUACUAAUCCGUUACUAAAUAUGAAAACUCAGUAACAGAUUUUUCCGUUACUAUUUAUAAAUGAUAAUAAAAUAUUAUAAAUUAUAUAAUCUAAUCCAACAAACCUGUAAAUACACUCACAUAUUACAACUAACCUGUAAAUACACUCACAUAUUACAACUCAUCUCAAUAACAAAAUGUAAAAACCAAAUGUCAUGAAUGAACUCAAAUCCAAUAUCAUAUAUUAUGUAAAUCAAAUUAAACAUAUAUCCAAACAUCAAGCUGUUCAAUUUUAAACUAAAAAAAUUAACAAAUUAUUUAUUAUCCUAGUACAUAUGUGUAAUGAAAAAAGAAACUAUAAUUGUGUAGUGUUCUCGUUCUCGUCCUCGUCCUCAUCAUUAGUUUCAUCUGCUUGUUCAGGAGGCUGUGCAGGCUGUGCAGAAGUUCCCUCACCGGGAGCUGAAGGCUGGUUGCCUUGUCUUUCACUCACAAGCUGCAUAAGUAAAUCCUUCACCUGUGAGAGCUCAGAGGUAAUCCGUACAUUUUGCUCAAUCAAUGCUUGUUCAUUAUCCUCACGCUCCUGUAGCUUGCGUCUGAGAUCAGCCAUUUCAUCUUGAAGAUCCUGAUUUUGCUGAGCUGAUGUGAAGGAUGUAUUAGCAGAAGUCUUGUUUGGGAAGAAAACUGAAGCCUGUGAUCCAAGACCAUACACCCUUCUUUUUUUCUCUCCACCUACUGCCUCAAAGUAUAACUGAGCCUCAUCAAUGCGGGAUGCCUGACUACUGUCAUUAUCUGUCUGUGAUGCUUGCUCUUUCAAAGUCAGAAAGCGAUCCUUCAAAAAAAAUACCAUGUGAUAUAACAGUAUAAACUACAAAUCAAAUAAUUUACUAUAAAUUAAUUUAAUUUCUCACAUGAAUGGACUUUGAGCGUGCAUCAACAAACUCUGAGGAACCCUUCUUCUUAUGCGUAGCCUCAAAUAACUCAUGAGAUAGAGGAUCUCUGCCUAGUCUUUCGCGCUGCAAGUAAAAUAUAAAUAGUAAUAACAUGCUUCAAUAUAAAUUCACAAUAAAUUAGAUAAAUUUAAAGUAUUUGAAAAAAUUUAAGUGAGAAUGAAUAUUACGUACCAUCUGUUGUUGAUGCCUAUACUGAGAUAUGGAUCCUCCACAAUGUCUUGAUGGGCCAGCGCCUUGCCCACCUGUUUCACUCUUUCUGUUAUUUGAGAAUUUUUUGCAUUUCUCUUUAUACUCAGUUGCUCCCCAAGCGGAUUGCCAUGCAUCCAUUACUCCUUCUGUCAGUGAUAGUCUCUUCUCCUUCCCAUUCCUUACGCUACACAUAAGGCUACGAUAUCGCUCGGCAGCUUUCUUCCUCCAAGCUAUCUUCAUCAGUUGUUCUAUUGCCUCCUCCCAUAAGAAGUGUUUCUGUAAUUACACACAUUUAGCUACAAAUAAUGCACAGUAAAAAUAAUGACAUGUACAAUAUAAUUUGUAUUACCUUAAAUUCUUGCCAAUAGAAUUCUUUAACCUCUUCUGGUACAUUCUUCCAACAAAAGCCAUCUGCUACUAACUUUUCCUUGAAGAUCAAGGUAAUCCGCCUAGCAAUCGGAUCAGAAGGCUGCAUGCUGUAAAAGAAUAAUUGACAAAAAAAUUAUUUUGAAAUAAGCAAAAAAAUUAAAUGCAUAGUUAAAAUUACUUAUAAAUUUUACUCACACUGAAUUUACUAAGUGAAUAUGUGGUCUGAGCCCUGUAGGUGCACAACUACCAGAAGCAGAUGCAGAUGUAGCCGUAGAUGCAAUAGGUGGCAAACCUAUGGGUGCUGAGGCAGUAGCAGAUGUGUGCACUGAAGCAGGAGUGGAUGAUGCAGCACCCGGUGUGGAUCUCUCACCCUGGUCUGGUCUAGGAAUCAAAGCAUUGUGUUGUACCAAAUCUUGAUUGACAUUUUCUGAUUCAGUUGUGUGGACACUACCCCUGCCAUGGUCUCCUCGACCCCGUGAUGAAGAUCCGCGUCCUCGUCCUCUCAUCCUGUACAAAUUUACAUUAUAAAAAUCAAGAUGUAGUUAACAUAUUUAAUAACUAAAAGUAAAAAUAGAUAUCAAUUAUGUUAUACCUUCUAUUCACUAUCUACAUCUAAGUCAUCAUCAUCAUCAUCAUUUGUUUCUGUUGCUAUUAUAGUUUCAUCUUCAUCAUUUUCUUCACCAUCAUCAAUUUCAAUAACAUCCCCAGUUGGAUCAUUUAAUUGUUGUGUUGAAUCAUCAAUUUCUCUAAUUAUGGCAGUGUGUUCCAUUUCCUCUUGUUGAAAUGGUUCAUCAGCAGGUUGUGUAUUUUCUUGUGUUGGAAGUUGAAUUACAGAACGUGCUUUGACUUUUAUAGCAGCCCACCAUUCAAUUUUAUCUCGCUUUAGGCUAGGAUACGGAGUAUAUAUCACUUGUAUUGCUUGUACUCCCAGCACAAAAGGCUCAUAUCUAUUAAAAGAUCGUUUAUGAUUCACAUCGACAAGUUUAUAUUUACUAUGGAUCUUUGUGCCUACAUUUGGAGUGGGGUCAAACCAAUUGCAUUUGAAAAGUACAACUCGCUUGAUUGGAAGACCUGGAUACUCCAAACGUAUAACUUCAAGCAAUUGUCCAUAGUAAUCGCUUUCUUCGCUGCUGUAAUUUGACCCCUUAAUACAUACCCCACUGUUCAUUGUUGCUCUACUUGCACAGUAUGACUUCGAUUGAAACUUAUAUCCAUUCACCAUAUAUCCAUUGUAUGAUGUCACACUUCGUAAUGGACCCAUUGCAAGCGAUAUGAUAAACUUAUUGGAUAUGUUAUUGCACGAAUCAUGAGCAAAAUUGUUGAACCAUAUAGAGAAUUCACUCUCCAAUUUGAUGUCAAUCUGAGAAUCAUUGACCAACGGAUCAUUUGAGCGCAAUUGAUCAAUGUAAAUGCUGGAAAAACCUCAACUCCAUUAGAAAAAGUAAUUUAAGAACAUAAUAUAUAAAUUACUUAUUUACGAUAACUUACUCAAUAUAGGGUUUCACUUCUGGACAAUUUAAUAAUAUGUACACUUGUGCUGCUUUAUACUCAUCCUCCAUAAGAUAUCUGGUUGUCCCUUUUCCUAUUGGUCGACCGGACUGCAUGAAGAUUGAUAGAUUGUCUUCAUAAUUUUCAGUACUUUCUGAAAUAUCAACAUUCCUUGGCACUUUUCGAUGUCUAGUUUGGACAUACGAUUCAAAGUAAUGUGCACAAAAUGAAGUUGCUUCUUCUACUAGGUACGCAUUACAUAUUGAUCCCUCGACUCUAGCUUUAUUUCUGACAUUAUUCUUAAGCCGUCGCAGAUAUCUAUAAAAUAUAUGACCAACAUUAGUAAACAUUAUUAAAUAACUUAAUUAAAGUGAAGUUAAAAGAACUUACCGUUCAAAAGGAUACAUCCAUCGAUAUUGCAAUGGACCUGCCAGCCAUGCUUCAUAUGCUAGAUGGACAGGGAGGUGUUCCAUACAAUCAAAGAAGCUUGGAGGGAAAACACGCUCAAGCUUGCAUAUGAUUAAAGGAAUUUCACCAUGCAACCGCAACAUAUCACUCUCACUUAUAGUGGUAGAUGUUAACUCCUUAAAAAAAUUACUCAACUCUGUUAAGGGUUGCCACACAUUUGAUGGAAGCAACUCACGAAAUGCAAUUGGCAUAAUCCGCUGCAUGAAGACAUGACAAUCAUGACUCUUCAUACCAAACAUCUUCAGCUUCUUCAUAUCAAUACAUCGCCCCAUAUUGGAAACAUAUCCAUCGGGAAACUUGAGAUUUUUCAACCAAUCACAUAAUACUUGCUUACUUUGCUUAUCUAGAGUAUAACAAGCUUUGGGAUAUCUCCCAGUGACUUCAUCCAUUUCCAACUCUGGCCGAUCACAGAUCACAUUUAGGUCUGCCCUUGACUUGGCAUUAUCCUUUGUCUUUCCCUCAAUACUCAUUACAGUGUUGAUUAUAUUUUCAAAAAAAAUUUUCUCAAUGUGCAUUACAUCAAGAUUGUGUCGAAUCAAAUUUGUUUUCCAAUACAGUAAAUCCCACAAGAUGCUUCUUUUUCGCCAACCGCAUUGCUUUGAUAGACGGGAAUUUAUUUCAAAUGCAUCCUCAUCUAUAACCCUCUUAAACCCCAAUUCAUCAAUCUGUUUCAGUAUUUCUUCACCGGAAAUAGGUGGUUUAGCUUUCUUAGUAACAGAUACAUUCUUCCUAAAAGCUGUUUUGUUUCUUCUAAAAGAAUGGCUAGGAGGUAAAAAUUUGCGAUGAUUAUCAAACCAUGAUUGCUUACCUCCUCUUGUCAAUGUGAAUGCAUCACUAUCUUCCAUGCAAUAAGGACAAGCAGUCCGUCCUGCAGUGCUCCAUCCAGAUAACAUUGCAUAAGCAGGAAAAUCACUUAUAGUCCACAUUAAAGCAGCUCGCAAGUUGAAAUUUUCUUUAUUGAAUGCAUCAUAUGUUUCAACUCCAUUCUCCCAUAAAUCUUUCAACUCAGUUACUAGGGGUUGCAAAUACACAUCCAACUUAUCUUUUGGAUUUCUAGGCCCUGGGACAAGUAUUGUGAGAAACAUAUACUCACCUUUCAUGCAUAACCAUGGGGGUAAAUUGUAAGGUGUCAAUAUGACAGGCCAUGAUGAAUAUUGCUGACCAGAUUGUCCAAAGGGUUGAAAACCAUCGGUACACAGUCCAAGACGGACAUUACGUUUCUCAGCACUGAAAUGAGGCCAAUUAUCAUUAAAAGCUUUCCAUGCAUGCGAAUCAGUUGGAUGAUGCAUUAAAUCAUCAUUAGUCCCAUGAUUGGCAUGCCAAGUCAUAUCCUUAGCUGUAGCAUUAGAUGCGUACAACCUUUGUAGUCUAGGUGUGAUUGGCAUGUAAUACAUUUUACUAUAAGCAACUUGAGUUUUACUAGAGCUCUGGCUAACUUGCAAUCGUUUGUACCUCGGAUGAUCACACACCUUGCACCUGAGCAAUUCAUUAUCCUCACCCCAAUAAAUCAUACAACCAUUUAAGCAAGUAUGAAUCUUCUGAAUUGGUAAUCCCAAGCCUUCAAGCAAUUUCUUUGUAGAGUAGAAAUUAUCAGUAAACAAAUUAUCAGCAGGUAAAAUUUCUUUGAUGAAUUGGCAAAUAUUGUCAAAACAACGUUCGGACAAAUGAUGUUCAGAUUUGAUAUUCAAUAUCCUUGCCACAGCUGACAGUUGUGAAUGAUUUUCACAACCUGGCCACAAUUCCUGAUUAACAGCGGCCAACAUGUCAUACAAUCUCUGAGUAGAUUGAUUUGGAGNNNNNNNNNNNNNNNNNNNNNNNNNNNNNNNNNNNNNNNNNNNNNNNNNNNNNNNNNNNNNNNNNNNNNNNNNNNNNNNNNNNNNNNNNNNNNNNNNNNNNNNNNNNNNNNNNNNNNNNNNNNNNNNNNNNNNNNNNNNNNNNNNNNNNNNNNNNNNNNNNNNNNNNNNNNNNNNNNNNNNNNNNNNNNNNNNNNNNNNNNNNNNNNNNNNNNNNNNNNNNNNNNNNNNNNNNNNNNNNNNNNNNNNNNNNNNNNNNNNNNNNNNNNNNNNNNNNNNNNNNNNNNNNNNNNNNNNNNNNNNNNNNNNNNNNNNNNNNNNNNNNNNNNNNNNNNNNNNNNNNNNNNNNNNNNNNNNNNNNNNNNNNNNNNNNNNNNNNNNNNNNNNNNNNNNNNNNNNNNNNNNNNNNNNNNNNNNNNNNNNNNNNNNNNNNNNNNNNNNNNNNNNNNNNNNNNNNNNNNNNNNNNNNNNNNNNNNNNNNNNNNNNNNNNNNNNNNNNNNNNNNNNNNNNNNNNNNNNNNNNNNNNNNNNNNNNNNNNNNNNNNNNNNNNNNNNNNNNNNNNNNNNNNNNNNNNNNNNNNNNNNNNNNNNNNNNNNNNNNNNNNNNNNNNNNNNNNNNNNNNNNNNNNNNNNNNNNNNNNNNNNNNNNNNNNNNNNNNNNNNNNNNNNNNNNNNNNNNNNNNNNNNNNNNNNNNNNNNNNNNNNNNNNNNNNNNNNNNNNNNNNNNNNNNNNNNNNNNNNNNNNNNNNNNNNNNNNNNNNNNNNNNNNNNNNNNNNNNNNNNNNNNNNNNNNNNNNNNNNNNNNNNNNNNNNNNNNNNNNNNNNNNNNNNNNNNNNNNNNNNNNNNNNNNNNNNNNNNNNNNNNNNNNNNNNNNNNNNNNNNNNNNNNNNNNNNNNNNNNNNNNNNNNNNNNNNNNNNNNNNNNNNNNNNNNNNNNNNNNNNNNNNNNNNNNNNNNNNNNNNNNNNNNNNNNNNNNNNNNNNNNNNNNNNNNNNNNNNNNNNNNNNNNNNNNNNNNNNNNNNNNNNNNNNNNNNNNNNNNNNNNNNNNNNNNNNNNNNNNNNNNNNNNNNNNNNNNNNNNNNNNNNNNNNNNNNNNNNNNNNNNNNNNNNNNNNNNNNNNNNNNNNNNNNNNNNNNNNNNNNNNNNNNNNNNNNNNNNNNNNNNNNNNNNNNNNNNNNNNNNNNNNNNNNNNNNNNNNNNNNNNNNNNNNNNNNNNNNNNNNNNNNNNNNNNNNNNNNNNNNNNNNNNNNNNNNNNNNNNNNNNNNNNNNNNNNNNNNNNNNNNNNNNNNNNNNNNNNNNNNNNNNNNNNNNNNNNNNNNNNNNNNNNNNNNNNNNNNNNNNNNNNNNNNNNNNNNNNNNNNNNNNNNNNNNNNNNNAAACACUUCCAACAAAAAAAUAUUAAUAAAUAAAGUAAUGGUUAUGUAAAUUAAAAAUAGAUGCUUUCACCUCUUCUUCUGAUAUUGGUUUACACAAGUCAUUGUUGAUGUCAUCACUCACCACAUUUGGAAUUAAAUUUAGCAUAGCUUCAGGAAUACUAACUUGCACUGCUUGAAACAGGUUAGAGAAGAAGUGAGUUACCCAAUGUCUUAUGGCCCCAUUAUCUUCUUGCCAAAAACCUUCUUCAUUUUUUAUUUUCACCAGUUGAUUCAUCUAGCGUCUCUAAACUGUUGUUGAAUGGAAGAAUUGAGUGUUCUUAUCUCCAUAGAAGAUCCAACUAAUUCUUGACUUUUAGAACCAAUAUAUUUCCUCAAGCUGCCACAGCUCUUUUAAUUCUUUUUGGACUAGUUCAAUCUCUGUUUUUGAAUUAAUUCUUUUUGGACUAGUUCAAUCUCUGUUUUUGAACUAUCAUGAGAAAUAGAGGAUUGCAAUUCAUCCAGCCAAAACUCAAGUUUACCAGAAAAAUACCACUGGGCUAGCAGAAAACAAAUACUAAAUUAACAGUCUACUGCAGGAGGAUUCUUCUUAAUUAUGUAACCACUUUCAUCAAGACUAUUAACAUGCUUUCAAUAUUAUCCACUGCUCAUUAGCCAAAGUACAAAUGAAAAUUUUUAUCAGUCUAUUUAUCACUUGACUAUUCAUUAAAAUUACCUAACCAGUUGGUUAAAUGGAAGAAAUCUUAAGAUAUAAACCUUAUCGGAAUUCAGCUAUCGACUAAAAGGUUUAGAUUCUCUUGUGCUAUCCAUAUCCUCAGGGAGGAAAUCAUGUUUACACAGAAGCAAAUGGCUGGGAGUUUGGCUUAAUAAUUCCGCAUUGCAUUUGGAUGCAGGAAGUCAGAGACCCUCCAAAUAGGGUAUGGGAGAAUGUCCACUAUCUCAAAUUGUUUCUUUACAAGUAUGGUUAGGUGUUGCAGUUAGCCCAAUUGUAACCAAAAAUUUUAAAAAAUAAAAAGUAAUUUUUCCGUUUCUUUUUCAGUUUUAUUGGAAAAAAACAUUGAAUACAACCAAAUUUUUGAAAGGAGAAAAAAAAAACAAAAACAAGAGUCUGAGACAAGCCUCCAUCAAAGAGCCUUGAAGUUUUCUCUACACCAACUCCAACUCUUCUUACCAAAUUUGAAAAGGAGAAUCAGAUCAAAGCUUCAGAUCAAUCCAGCAAACAAAAUUAUGGUUAAAAUAUCGCAUAAGAAAUUUCAAAUUUAAUUAUGCAGAAACACAAUAAGCAGCCCAUCUACCCAUGUUAAAUCUUAUUAGAACUUCACACCUUAAUCUUUUUUCUCUUUGUAUUUAUUCGUUUAUUCUGAGCUUAUCCUUCUACUUGAUGACACCAAGGAUAAAUUUCCAAAAAAAAAGAGAGAAGGGAUGAACAUCACAGUACGCAGCAGAUACCAACAAAAUCAGCUAAGUAAUUUACCUUGGCAAUAGCAAUUGACAGUCGGUGAAGGCGGCAACGGUGAAGGCGGCAACGGUGAAGGCGGCAACAGUGAAGGCGGCAACUGUGAUCGAAGGCGGCAACAGUGAUCGAAGGCGGCAACAGUUAUCGAAGGCGGCAACGGUGAUCGAAGGCGGCAACGGUGAUCGAAGGCGGCAACAGUGAUCGAAGGCGGCAACGGUGAUCGAAGGCGGCAACUGUGAAGGCGAUGAUAGCUGAAGGGCAGAGAUUUUGGAGAACUUCGUGCAAGUGAGGGAAAUAAGGGAAAGUAAACUGAGAAAGGGAAAUUUCGGGCUUUCUAAUGUUAGGGAUUUUAAAUUUAGUAACGGACACAUCCGUUACUAAAUUUAACUUCUGUAACGGAUAACAUAUCCGUUACUAAAUGACCGAUUACAGAACCAUUUAGUCACGGAUGUGUUCAUCCGUUACUAAUUUUGGGUAAAUUUAACCAAUUCUGUAACGGAUAUAAAUCCGUUACAGAAUUUAGUAACGGAUUUAUAACGGAUGAGCUAAUCCGUUACUAUUAUUGUGUUUAAUAUAAUAUCCGUUAUUAAUCCGUUACUGAUUAGUAACAGAAUUUUUCCGUUACUAUUUUCCGUUACUAAUCCGAUAAAUUUUUGUAGUGAUUUAGCAGCAACAAGUAUCUUCAUCAAACUCAAGUAUGUCUUUAGAAGAUAUUGUUAAAAGUUUGGCAACUAAUACUCAACGACUUCAACAUGAAACCCAGAUAAGUAUUGGCAAUCUAUAAAUACAAGUGAGUCAAUUGGCAAUAUCAAUGAACAUAUUGAAAAAUCAAGGCCAGCUACCUUUUCAAACCAUAAUGAAUCCUAAGCAGAAUGUAAGUGCCAUUACACUCAGAAUCAGAAAAGAGUUGUAGGACAAUCCUCAUUAGGUAGGUCGUGGGCACGAUCGCAAUGCAGACUUGGAUACUAAGAUGACAGUACUUAAACCAGAUGAUAAAUUAGCUCCAGUACCUGUACAAUCCGAACCUUUGAUCAUUAAACCUCAUUUUCCUGAGAGAUUAGCCAAGUUUAAAUGAGAGAAAGAAGAGAAGGAGAUUCUAGAGAUAUUUCGUAAAAUAGAAGUCAAUAUACCUUUACUUGAUGAAUAGGUACAUCGCUAUGUAAAAUUCUUAAAGGAAUUAUGCACCAAUAAAAUAAAGCUGAUAAGCUACCAAAAGGUUUGUAUGGAGGAAAGUUGUUGUUUUUCAAAGUAAAACGCCUACCAAAUGCAAAGACCAAGAUAUGUUUGCUAUCCCUAUCAAAAUUGACAAAGUAGGGGUGAAGAAGGCAAUGUGUGACUUAGGUGCAUCUACAAAUGUAAUGUCAUUGUCUAUUUAUCAUUCUUUAAAUGUUGAUAUUUUGAAAGAAACUAGUGUGGUGAUACUAUUGGCUGAUAGAUCAAUUAUAUACCUUGUGGGAGUCUUAGAGGAUGUGCUUGAACAAAUUGGUAGUUUAGUAUUCCUUGCUGAUUUUUAUAUAGUACAUAUGGAUGAUGAUAGAUUUUCUAAUAUAUCUGACCUCCUGUUAGGUAGACCUUUCUUGACAACUGCUAGAGCAAAAAUAGAUGUUUUUGAUAGCACACUUACUAAGGAUUUUAUGGAAAAAUUAUAGAAUUUAAUGUGUAUGACAGCAUGAAAUAUCCAAAUGUAAUGUCUAUAAUCGAAUCUAUAAUCCAGCAAGUAUUUGAGUUGUAAGGUGAGGAUGAGUUAAGAACUGUCAUGUGUGAGCACUUGAAUAAAACUAAAUUGGUAGUCAUAAAUACUGAUUUCAUUCUAAAAGAAAGGCUCGAGAAUAUUGUCUAUGAACUUAGCUAAUAAAGUCAAAUGUAAUGUCUCUAUUUUAGAAUUACCUACUACUCAUCCUAAACUUCUACCACCUGUUGUGCAGGCUCCACAGCUGGAGUUGAAACCAUUGCCUAUUGAACUCAAUUAUGCAUAUAUUGGAAUCAUUACCAGUAAUUAUCUCCAGCAAGCUGACACCAUAUGAGGAAGAGGAGCUGAUCUGAGUCUUGAAAGAAAACAAAGGUGCAAUCGGCUGAACUAUAGCUGAUAUAAAAGGAAUCAGUCCUUCCACAUGUAUACAUAAAAUUUUAUUAGAAGAAGACAUCAAGCCAACAAGGGAGGCUCAACGCCGUUUGAAUCCUCUAAUGAUGGAAGUGGUCAAAAAGAAAAUUCUGAAAUUACUUGAUGAAAGUGUGAUCUAUCCCAUUUCCAACAGUAAAUGGGUGACCCAGUCCAAGUUGUCCCUACGCAUUAUUGUGGUGAAGAAUGAAGAAGAAAAAUUAGUACCCACCUAUGCUCAAAACGGAUGGAGGAUUUGUAUAGAUUAUUGCAAAUUAAAAGCAUCUACUAAAAAAGAUCAUUUUCCACUUCCAUUUAUUGAUCGGAUGCUUGAACUUCUAGCUGGAAAAUCUCAUUAUUGUUAUCUUGAUGGAUAUUCAUGUUUUCACUAAAUUCUUGUGGCACUUGAAGGUUAAGAGAAUAUUGCAUUCACCUGUCCAUUUAGCACCUUCGCUUAUCGACGAAUGCCAUUUAAGCUUUUCAAUGCACUGACUAUAUUUUAGUGAUGUUUGGUUAGUAUAUUUUCAGAUUUUGUAGAAGAUAUCAUAGAAGUCUUCGUAGAUGAUUUCACCGCAUAUGGUGACUCAUUUGUUGAAUGCUUACCUAACCUUAAAAAAGUUCUUAAGUGGUAUUUUGGAAUCCAAUUUGAUGUUAAAUAUGAGAAAUGCCAUUUUAUGGUAGACCAAGGGCUAAUCUUGGGACACAUUGUGUCAAAAAGUAGAAUUGAGGUUGAUAAAUGUAAGAUAGAUGUUAUUAAGUUAUUGCCUUACCCUGUUAAUGUGUGAAAAAUGCAUUGCUUCCUUGGACAUGCAAGUUUCUAUCUACAAUUUAUCAAGAAUUUCUCAAAAAUAGCUCAGCCACUCUGCAGAUUAUUGCAAAGGAUAUUGAGUUUACUUUUGAUGAUUCUUGCAAAAAGGCAUUUGAUGCACUCAGGGAGAUAUUAAUUAUUGCACUAGUAAUACAACCCCUUGCUUGGAGUCAACCUUUUAAAAUUACAUGUGAUGCUAGCAACCAGGCUGUGGCCACGGUAUUAGGACAUAAGAAAGAAAAAUAUCCUCACGUCAUCUACUAUACGUCCAGAACACUUGAUAAUGCGCAGUGCAAUUACUCAACCACAAAAAAAGAACUUCUAGCUAUAAUUUUAUGCUUUAAAAAAAUUUCGUUCAUAUUUACUUGGCACUAAAGUAAUUAUUUGUUCUGACCAUACAACUUUAAAAUAUCUUUUCAAGAAAAAAGAUGCAAAGCAUAAACUAAUUCGGUGGAUCCUUUUACUCCAAGAGUUUGAUGUAAAAAUUCGAGACAAGAAGGGGUCUGAGAAUUUAGUUGCUCAUCAUCUUAGCCAACUGCCAUUAUUGGUUGAAGAACCUGCACCACUCAAAGAUAAAUUCCCAGAUGAACAUCUAUUUUCUACUUUCAGAUCAAGUUUCUUGCUAUGCAAAUAAAUUCAAUUAUUUGAUCUCUAAAUCCUUACCUGAUGAUUUGACUAGAACUAAACGAGAAAAUAUCAAACAAGAUUCCAAGUAUUAUACUUAAGUUGAACCUUAUUUUUGGUGCAUAUGCUCAGACCAUAUUAUUAGAACAUGUGUUUUGGGUAAUGAAAUCAGUUCCAUUAUGAGCUUUUGUCAUGCCCACGCAUGUGAAGGUCACUUCGGUCCAAAGAGAACCACUCGUAAAAUACUUGAUAGUGGAUUUUAUUGACCUCGUAUAUAUCAUGAUUCCUAUGUAUUCUAUAAAUCUUAACUAUCAAAAAUCUAAAAAUUUAAGUCGUCGAGUUCAAAUGCCCUGAUAACCUAUCCUUGUCUAUGAAUUUUUGAUGUUUAGGGUAUGUAUUUUAUGGGACCAUUUCCAUCUUCUUUUGGUCAUACAUAUAUACUCUUAGUUGUGGAUUAUGUUUCUAAGUGGGUAGAAGCAAAAGCUACCCAUACUAAUGAUGCUAAGGUUGUUGUGGAUUUUGUCAAGUCAUAUAUCUUUAACAAGUAUGGAGUUCCAAAGGCCAUAAUCAGUAACUGUGGAAUUAAUUUUUGCAAUAAGAUAGUUGCAGCACUUUUCAAGAAGUAUGGUGUCCAUUAUCGAACUUCCACAACAUAUCAUCCAAAAAUGGUCAAACAGAAGUGUCCAAUAGAGAGAUUAAGUCCAUUAUUUAAAAAAACAGUCAGCCUCAAUUGUAGAGAUUGGAGUCUUAGGUUUAAGAAUGUCUUAUACGCAUAUCGGACAGCUUUUAAAACACCCAUAGGUAUAUUCCUUUACCGCCUCAUCUAUGGCAAGUCUUGCCACUUAUAUGUGGAGAUUGAGCACAAGGCUUUUUUAGCAGUAAAACAAUGCAAUAUGAGUAUGGAUGAAUGAAGCUGGUGUACAUCAUAAGUUGUAAUUGCAAGUGCUGAAAGAAAUUUGGAAUGAUACUUAUGAUAAUUUCAUAAUUUACAAAGCAAGAAUAAAGACAUUGCAUGAUCAAUUAAUUUCUAUAAAAUAAUUUUUUAUUGGUCAAAAAGUUUUGCUCCAUGAUCCUAGAUUGAAAUUAUUUCUUAAUAAAUUACACACCAGAUAGAUUGGCCUUUUUAUUGUCACUAAUAUUUUUUUCUAUAGUACUGUAAAAACAAGGAGUAUGAACAUCAACAAGUCAUUUAAGGUCAAUAGCCAUCACCUCAAGCCUUUUUAUGAAAAUUUUCCUCCAAAGCAAGUUGAGAAAAUUAGUCUCAGUGACUUCUCUCUACUUCAUUUAUUAGCUUGCAAGAAAGUCAAGUCUAACUACGAUUAUAAAUUAAAACUACUCCUACCAAUUUUUAGUUAGAUUUUAUUUCCUUUAUUCUUUAAUUUAUUUUUUUUUUAGUUGCCGGAGGCCAAGCUUGAGAAUAGCAGCUAUAUUUGCUAUUAACAGGGAAUAUUUGCCAAUUUUUUUGGAUUCUGACUUUCUGCUAUCAAUUCCCCUUCUUCACCUCCAUAGGAACUAGGUGCGGUUCAUCAUGAUCUGAGGCUCUUGCUUAAUUCUCAUCCCAAAAUCUCAAUUGUUCAUAUAGCUAGAACUGCAAAUUGCUUUGUAGACUGGAAAAUAUGAUAAGAUAGAGUUAAUAUGUUAAGAUAGGACUGUUUUCAAAUCCUCCUCCACAAUUAUUAAGUUUCCUUUGUAAUGACUUUUUUUAAAUCAUGAUCAAUGAUUUGCCCUUUUCUAAUAAAAAAAAAAGGACCGAGCAAACGUGAGUUUUAAGAUGAGGAUGGAACACGUCAAUAGCAAGCAUCACUAGUUGAUCCAACGUCAUGAGUUUCUGAUGCCCCGAGUCUCAAGGAGAUAUUUGGAUUGGCGCACAUAUUUUGGAUAGUCUUUUUUCUCAUAUCCCACUUGCUCCUCUUGCUUUUAAAACUUUUAUUCGGGCCCGAUAUUAUAAGAAGAGAUGGGUUGGGCUUGAUGAUUCUUUUCCUUGGUCUGUCGGGUUUAUUUCAACAUGCAUAGCAAGUGGAGUCGUUUUUAGGACCAUCCCCUUCAAUCUGGUUUGAUGUGUCAGAGCUAGAGUCAGGAGAUUGGUAGAGGUGAGCAUCUGAUUUUUUCGAAGGCAGGUCUGUAGCUUUGUCCAUUGUAUUUCUUGGUGUAAUCUCUAGACUCAAAGAUUCAUGGAGAUGGAAAGUAUAUAAAUCAGGUGGCUCAAAGGUCGUUGCUUUUCCUUGUAUGGUUUUGGGAUCGUCAAUGUUAUGCCUCUGGGUCUCAUCGGCGUCUUGAUCAUAGUUUUGGCCAGCGAUGUUUGUGUCUUCUUUAUCCAACAAAUGGUCUUUUGGUGGUGAAGAUUGCAAUGGAAAAGCCUUCAGCUAGAAACCGUACUUUGAUCUUCUGCCUUGUUACGCUGAUGAGGAUGAUUGAGUUUCCUGUAUCUUGCAAUCCCGAUUAAUUGACCUAUCCUGCCACAACCCACAAGAGAGAAAAAGUAUUAGGUAAACUUUCAUAUUUCAAAAUUACCCCUUGUAGUUCUCCAUUGGGUUUUUGAUCCUGGAAACUCGUUUUGAAAGGUUCAUUAAUUGGCAAAUUAACUAUGAUACGCAGCCAAAUCUAAAGUACCUUCGAGUGUUAGAUCCGUCUCUAAGAAUUGACCCAGCAUAUUGCCGAUAAUCUGAGCAUUCCUAGGAUUCAAUUGAUUUGGGGGAUGCCAUGAGCCUGCGACCAAAAAGGCAAGUGACUUGAGUGCAAUCUGUUAAAGGAUUGGAGGUGGACAACUAAGAAUUGGAGCUUUUUAGAUUCAGAGAAUAUAAUUUUCGAUACUUACUGGUCAAUCGUAAUCUUAACCCUUUCUUUUGCGCCUCUGACUGUGAGAAUGGGAUGGGAUGGGUGGGAGUUAUAUGUCCAAACUAGACAGUCAAGCAGGCGAUCUUCUGAGACCCUCUUUAUCUCCUUAUCACUACCAACGACAUUCCUUUUUUAUAUUUUUGAUAUUUCAAGGUAUUAGAAAUUUUUGCUCUUAUAACAAGAAAGAGCAUUAGGAUUUUUUUUUUUUUCUCACACAACCCAUCUAGCAUGCAAAAAUGAAUGCUGAAGCAGUCCCAGGUAAUCACUAUAACACGUCGGAUUUAAAAAUAUAAAACAAUGUUUACAUGAUAUUUAUAUUCUUGUGUUCAAUUUCCUUUCAGCAAAAGAAUUAAGCUUCCAAAUGGUCAAGAUUUGGAGGAACAAGGGAAUGCACAAGGGUCUCAAAAAUAUUUCUGAAGGAGAGAGCAAUAAGCACCACCAAAUCAAUCUCAUCACGUUCGAUCUUAUUACUCGCCCAACACAGACUUCAACACCCCCACACAAUUGAACCAGCGGCGUUGAGAAUAUAUCUUGCAAAAACGCAAGAGCGGACAUGGAUCAUGAAUCAUCAAAAAUCAAUACAAAGAACAAAAGUAAUAGUUCCCCAUAUUAAGUUGACAGGCACUAACCUUCAAAUUUUUCCAGAUACAAUUAAACUCUACAUCAGAUCACCUGUCAUUUGAAUCAUCCUACAUAACGUCCAGUUCCUACUGUAUACANNNNNNNNNNNNNNNNNNGAGGUAGAUAAAUUAACAUCAAUGCACAUACAAAAGAGCUUCAGUUUGAAGAAGUUCACUAACCAAUCCUUCAUUCUUGGAAAGGUUGGAAAAGGAAGGAUGGUUUUGGGUCCAACAGUAUAAAAAAUGUCGAUACACUGAACAACAGCAUAGGCACGCUUCCAGCUGUCCAGGCAACAAAUAUUGCAUGCUGCUUUCCAACAGUUAACAUAUCUACACAGGGGAAAGUGAACAGCUGCCACCCAAGACAUAUUCAAGGAAAUACCAGCUAGCAGACCCCACACAGAUUCCUUCAUGAUGCAAAGGCGGGGAUCAUAGAAAAUGGCAUCAAAUAACUCACUAACCACCCAUCCUUGAAGAGCAAGAGUUAGUUGAUGACCUCUGGAAGUUAGCCAGCAUCAAUCCAAGAACACUGAAAUAAAAAAAUAAUCAUAAUAAAGAAAUAAUUAAAAAAUGUGACUUUCAAGUUUAACUCAUGCACCAAAGUUAAAAUCCAUUCAUCAGAUCUCAAGUCAAAUAGAUGGAGGAAAGACAACGGGGACGCAGAGCAACACGUUUCACAUAAUUUGAAGGCAGGCAAAUGGAAAAUAAAUACAUACUGAGAAUUUAUGGGCCUCAUGGAUUACUGGAGUGCGUGACUAGGCAUCUCUACUGCCAUGAGGAUUGCUUAUAACCUUCCCAGCUACUCUCUGGCUCCUUCCUCUUAAGUAUGCCACCGCCUGCCACCUGAAACAUCCUUGACUGCUCCUCUGCAAUGGCCUGUGAACUGGCAACGGACAAUUGCCUUGACGAAAGAGAACCUGUCUCAUCUCUCCCUUCCAAGUCUGGGCCCAAAGGCCCUGCAUUGAGGUCAAGACCUUGCCUUCCCCAUUUCCAACUACUCUCAGAGCCACCAAUAUUGCUAUUAUCCUGGAGGCUAACAACAAAAGGCCUUGGGUAAUGGGACGGG
Molecule: long non-coding RNA, 32636 nt
Filed under: Manihot esculenta (cassava)
Lineage: Eukaryota; Viridiplantae; Streptophyta; Magnoliopsida; Malpighiales; Euphorbiaceae
Description: long non-coding RNA (MESC_LNC008346)
Source: RNAcentral